This 450-nucleotide ribosomal RNA is filed under the name uncultured bacterium. RNAcentral describes it as "bacterial SSU rRNA". It matches the Rfam family "Bacterial small subunit ribosomal RNA", at positions 354 to 796 of the family's 1533-position model. The record is from RNAcentral.
GUGGGGAAUUUUGGACAAUGGGCGCAAGCCUGAUCCAGCAAUGCCGCGUGCAGGAAGAAGGCCUUCGGGUUGUAAACUGCUUUUGUACGGAACGAAACGGUCCUGGUUAAUACCUGGGGCUAAUGACGGUACCGUAAGAAUAAGCACCGGCUAACUACGUGCCAGCAGCCGCGGUAAUACGUAGGGUGCGAGCGUUAAUCGGAAUUACUGGGCGUAAAGCGUGCGAAGGCGGUGCUGUAAGACAGGCGUGAAAUCCCCGGGCUCAACCUGGGAAUUGCGCUUGUGACUGCAGUGCUGGAGUACGGCAGAGGGGGAUGGAAUUCCGCGUGUAGCAGUGAAAUGCGUAGAUAUGCGGAGGAACACCGAUGGCGAAGGCAGUCCCCUGGGCCUGUACUGACGCUCAUGCACGAAAGCGUGGGGAGCAAACAGGAUUAGAAACCCGUGUAGUCC